GUGUUACCUCGUGUUUCACAUAUACUAAAAUUGGAACGAUACAGAGAAGAUUAGCAAUGGCCCUCGCGCAGAGAUGACACGCAAACUCGUGAAGCGUUCUAAAUUUUA
Molecule: small nuclear RNA, 108 nt
Organism: Gadus chalcogrammus (walleye pollock)
Lineage: Eukaryota; Metazoa; Chordata; Actinopteri; Gadiformes; Gadidae
Source: RefSeq, a predicted model, not a curated record